CGAGCGAAGCGCUUCGUUUUGAAUCUUCGGAGGAAGAACGGAAUGACUGAGCGGCGGACGGGUGAGUAACGCGUGGGCAACCUGCCUCAUACAGGGGGAUAACAGUUAGAAAUGACUGCUAAUACCGCAUAAGACCGCGGUACCGCAUGGUACAGCGGUAAAAACUCCGGUGGUAUGAGAUGGGCCCGCGUCUGAUUAGCUAGUUGGCGGGGUAACGGCCCACCAAGGCGACGAUCAGUAGCCGACCUGAGAGGGUGACCGGCCACAUUGGGACUGAGACACGGCCCAAACUCCUACGGGAGGCAGCAGUGGGGAAUAUUGCACAAUGGGGGAAACCCUGAUGCAGCGACGCCGCGUGAGCGAUGAAGUAUUUCGGUAUGUAAAGCUCUAUCAGCAGGGAAGAAGAUGACGGUACCUGACUAAGAAGCCCCGGCUAACUACGUGCCAGCAGCCGCGGUAAUACGUAGGGGGCAAGCGUUAUCCGGAUUUACUGGGUGUAAAGGGAGCGUAGACGGCGGUGCAAGCCAGAUGUGAAAGCCCGGGGCUCAACCCCGGGACUGCAUUUGGAACUGUAUGGCUGGAGUGUCGGAGAGGCCGGCGGAAUUCCUAGUGUAGCGGUGAAAUGC
This 626-nucleotide ribosomal RNA is filed under the name uncultured bacterium. RNAcentral describes it as "bacterial SSU rRNA". It matches the Rfam family "Bacterial small subunit ribosomal RNA", at positions 63 to 689 of the family's 1533-position model. The record is from RNAcentral.